RNAcentral lists this non-coding RNA (45 nucleotides) under Schistosoma mattheei. The record is from RNAcentral. Lineage: Eukaryota; Metazoa; Platyhelminthes; Trematoda; Strigeidida; Schistosomatidae.
AUCCAGAUGACGAGUCCCAAUCAGGACGAAACGCGUGUCCUGGAU